ACGGCAUCACGAGGGUCGCACNGUCUCCCUUCUCUAAUCAGUGAAACUGAUCUCCCCGUGAAGAAGCGGGGAUAAAGCUAUAAGACGAGAAGACCCCAUGGAGCUUUAGACCUCCAGCAACUAAACUAUAUACCCCCCCUCAUCACAAAGUCAUGCUUAACAGUCUUAGGCUGGGGCGGCCACGGAGUAAAAAAUAACCUCCAUGACGAAAAGAACUAAAUCCUUAUCUAUGAGUUACCACUCUAAGAAUUAGAACACUAACGUACAUGACCCGAUAAACGACCAACGAACCUAGUUACCCUGGGGAUAACAGCGCAAUCUACUUCAAGAGCUCAUAUCGACAAGUAGGCUUACGACCUCGAUGUUGGAUCAGGGUAUCCUAGUGGUGCAGUCGCUGCUGACGGUUCGUUUGUUCAACGAUUAAAACC
RNAcentral lists this ribosomal RNA (428 nucleotides) under Philautus mjobergi (Murud bubble-nest frog). RNAcentral's name for it is "partial 16S rRNA". It matches the Rfam family "Bacterial large subunit ribosomal RNA", at positions 1996 to 2595 of the family's 2925-position model. The record is from RNAcentral. Lineage: Eukaryota; Metazoa; Chordata; Amphibia; Anura; Rhacophoridae.